UGAAGCUGCCAGCAUGAUCUCA
RNAcentral lists this microRNA (22 nucleotides) under Fragaria vesca subsp. vesca. RNAcentral describes it as "fve-miR167d". Its record names the gene fve-miR167d. The record is from miRBase by way of RNAcentral. Lineage: Eukaryota; Viridiplantae; Streptophyta; Magnoliopsida; Rosales; Rosaceae.